Molecule: long non-coding RNA, 1466 nt
Filed under: Bos taurus (domestic cattle)
Lineage: Eukaryota; Metazoa; Chordata; Mammalia; Artiodactyla; Bovidae
Description: long non-coding RNA NONBTAT001405
Source: RNAcentral
UUGGCAAACAAUCAAAGUUCCAUAAAUGAUUACAACUAAGCAAUGUAUUUCUCUAAAGGACUUGUAAAAAUCAGUUAGUUUUAUUUAAGGAUCAGUCCUAGUCUGCAUUAAGUUAUUCCUGGCCCAUUUUAAAGACAAGUUUGAAAAAGACUUUUAAAUUUUAUGAAUUUGUAGAUUCCAUAAACUCCACUGAUUAAUCAGUGUGAAAGAAUUUUACUGUUUUAAUCCAUUUCUCACUGUUGAAUUUUAUUCAGAUUGAAAUUUCCUUUUCAGAGUCUCUGAAUGUACGCCUGGAAAGGCCAUGUGAGCAUUGCCAGGUACCACUCAUUGCUCUCCAGUGGCUUCUUGACUUAUAUUCUGACAUUUCUAAUAUCAAGCCCUUGGUAACAUAAUACCAAGUUAUGACUGUUUUUAAAGAUCACAGUGUUCUCAAAGGGACCAAGGCUGUCUGAAUAUGUAACUCAGAAUUUGAAAAGAAUUCAGUUACUAGUUCUUUUCUUCACUUUUAAACAGCCAGUUUGACUGGAAUUAACCACCUUGGCACAGCCUAAAAACAAGUAAUGUGAAAUGAAAUUUUCUUUGAAAGUCUUCUGAAAUAAGAGACCAUGUCAGUGGGACCCAAAGAUAACCGAGGUACUUUUACUUGCUUCCAAGGGCCUCAUUCUUCCGCUGUUACUUAUGAGUACUUUGAUUUUUACUACCUGAUCUGCUUUCUCUCCCUUUUCCAAACUUGAAAAAUACAUGGCAGCUCACUUUACCCUAACGCCGUGAAAACCCCAAGAAAGCAAGCAAAGGAUGAUCCGGAGGAACUCUUGCCAUAAAUGCCGACUUGGUUCUUAGUUUAGCCAUUUCCAUCAUUUGAAAUUAUGGUGGCGUGUCGCUUGUUUUGUUGUCAUCGUUUGUUCUUUGUUUAGCUUUGUUUUUUAAUAUUCAUUUAAUAUGAUAAUAGGCAAUAGCAACAUUUUUUUACUCCCAGGAAUAUAAUUUAUCAAAUUGAACUAUUUUCUUUGCCAAAGAAGUAUGUUUAUAAUAUCACGGGUAAUGAUUUAAGUGUCAAAACAAGGCUUUGCUUAUUGUACAAAAAAAAAAAAAGGGUGAUGAAUGAUGUAGCUUUUGUUUCUGUUUCUGAAGCCUAAUUUCAUUCAUUUUUCAGAAAGGCUUAUUCAUGCCAGGUUUUAGAAGACAGAUGUCAUUUUUAAGUAAAAGCACCUUUAAUUUGUUCUAACGGUACAUCCUGUAAAGACAAAAAGCCUCAAAGCCUUUUAGGUGUCCUUACAGUAUGUGAAAACUACAGGACUCAUUCUAAAUUACCAGUCUCGAUUGAUACUAUCUGCUUCCAUUUUUAUUAACUUGGAAAUUAAUAUGUUGCUAGUAAAUAUUGGUUUUUACAGUGUCCAGUUUGAAAAUGUAAGUUAUCAAAACUUAAUGUAGUGAAUUUGUGUAACCAUGUUGUACUGUUGAGAAUG